GGGGGCGCUCGGUUUCGACUUUCUCGAACGUGCGUCUGUGGCAAGCCGAGGACUGAACUGGUUGGCCUCGUUAAUCAUCCGGUUCAAAAAAUUAAAUGCUAACGAAGAGUUGGCUCUCGCGGCCUAAAUUGCCGCGACGUCCUGUCUUCAACUCCUGCUAGGAGAACAGGACGCUAUCAGCAGGGCUGUCCGCAAAGUGAGUCGCCGGCUUGCGGAGUGAAUUGACGCGGAGGCUAAGGUCACGGAGCGCGUGGUUGCGCAACCCGUGACUCGAAAAUCAACCAACCACUAAGCUUGUAGAGGCAGGCGUUCUCUCGAUUAAGGACGUGGGUUCGAGUCCCACCGCCUCCACUC
RNAcentral lists this transfer-messenger RNA (354 nucleotides) under Verrucomicrobiales bacterium. It matches the Rfam family "transfer-messenger RNA". From Rfam's summary of the family: Bacterial tmRNA, also known as 10Sa RNA or SsrA, is named for its dual tRNA and mRNA-like properties. Its role is to liberate the mRNA from a stalled ribosome. The record is from RNAcentral. Lineage: Bacteria; Pseudomonadati; Verrucomicrobiota; Verrucomicrobiia; Verrucomicrobiales.